GUAUAGCCUAUAGAACUGUGAGCCGAAUAAACCUCUCCUGUUUAUAAAUUACCCAGUCUUGGGUAUUUCUUUAUAGCAAUGUGAGAAUGGACUAAUACAGACAAUUGGUACCAAGGAGUGGGGCACUGACAGAAAGUUACC
Molecule: long non-coding RNA, 141 nt
Organism: Sapajus apella (tufted capuchin)
Lineage: Eukaryota; Metazoa; Chordata; Mammalia; Primates; Cebidae
Exons: 2
Source: RefSeq, a predicted model, not a curated record